UAAACAGAAGAAGAUUUGAGAUUUAUGAGUAGGAACAAACGUGGAAAAGGUAGGGUGGCGGUAAACACGAAUUUAUUCCCAUUUCUGUAUGUUCCACCGUACUAGUAGCCUCCGCAUUUUUUACGAUAUAAUAUGGUGUUGGCGGUUU
Molecule: non-coding RNA, 148 nt
Organism: Caenorhabditis elegans
Lineage: Eukaryota; Metazoa; Nematoda; Chromadorea; Rhabditida; Rhabditidae
Source: Ensembl